GCUUUAGCUUCUGGAAGAAAUAACUAUCUUGUAGUAUGGCAUUUUUUUCCCCUGUAGCAAGUGUGCAGAACUAUAUGGCAUGCAUUCACUUGUGUUAUUUUCAACAUAGCUUCUUUUUUCUUUUUGAGACAGGGUUUCACUGUUGCCCAGGCUGGAGUGCUGGAGUAUGAUCUUUGCUCACUACAGCCUCAAAUUCAUGAGCUCAAGUGAUCUUCCCACCUUAGCCUCACCAGUACCUGGGACUACAGGCUUACACCACCAUACGCAGCUAAGUCUUUUGUUUGUUUGUUUGUUUUAGAGACAAGGUCUUGAUAUGUUGCCCAGGUUUGUCUUGAGUUUCUGGCCUCAAAUGAUGCUCCCACCUUGGCCUCCCAAAGUGUUAGAAUUACAGAGCCACACCAAACCCGUUCAAUCCUGUGUUGAUUUGAAAGCCGGCUACAGGUUAACCCUAAGCUUUUUCCUGGGUGAUUCUUGA
Molecule: long non-coding RNA, 475 nt
Filed under: Callithrix jacchus (white-tufted-ear marmoset)
Lineage: Eukaryota; Metazoa; Chordata; Mammalia; Primates; Cebidae
Description: lncRNA (ENSCJAG00000064134.2)
Source: RNAcentral